CAUUUAAAUCUGUUCAAUGAGUCUCUCAGCAUCUAUGUAGAACUCUUCUGCAUCAUCUUCAUCCACUGCAUGGACUUUGCUUUGUUUCGGGGCUUGAUUUUUGCAGCACCGAGCAUGCCUCAGCCGCUCUGCACAGUUUCAAUGCUUUUUCCAGGUCGAGAUUUUAACCGGUGGGUGGCUUGUUCGAAUCCAAGGAUUGUAAGCAAGACACUCCCCAGCCCGUGCGCAGUAAAAGUCUGCUUGGUAAGUGUUCACUGAUGUGUUGAAGGAUGGGAUAAAUGCAGAUAUUGAAUAUCCCCAUUUCCUAAUAUCCUAUCCUAAUUAUUAACGGAAUAUCUUAAGUAUGGGGUGCCGAAUGUAAAAAUUCAGUCACACUUUUUUUGCUGAUAUAUUUUGAAUAUUUAGCUCUCUUUUUUCACAUUUAGCUCACUUUCUUCACAUUUAGCUCACUUUCUUCACAUUUGAGGUACAAAUUAAAUGUUAAAUCUAAAUGUUAAAUCUAAAUCUAAACGCUAAAUC
Centropristis striata (black sea bass) is the source of this 519-nucleotide long non-coding RNA. RefSeq lists it as uncharacterized. The transcript has 3 exons. Lineage: Eukaryota; Metazoa; Chordata; Actinopteri; Perciformes; Serranidae. The record is from RefSeq and is a predicted model, not a curated record.